Molecule: ribosomal RNA, 504 nt
Filed under: uncultured bacterium
Lineage: Bacteria
Description: partial 16S ribosomal RNA
Rfam family: Bacterial small subunit ribosomal RNA
Source: RNAcentral
AUUGAACGCUGGCGGCAGGCCUAACACAUGCAAGUCGAACGGUAGCACAGAGAGCUUGCUCUCGGGUGACGAGUGGCGGACGGGUGAGUAACGUCUGGGAAACUGCCCGAUGGAGGGGGAUAACUACUGGAAACGGUAGCUAAUACCGCAUAACGUCGCAAGACCAAAGUGGGGGACCUUCGGGCCUCACACCAUCGGAUGUGCCCAAGUGGGAUUAGCUAGUAGUUGGGGUAAUGGCGCACCUAGGCGACGAUCCCUAGCUGGUCUGCGAGGAUGACCAGCCACACUGGAACUGAAACACGGUCCAGACUCCUGCGGGAGGCAGCAGUGGGGAAUUUUGCGCAAUGGGCGCAAGCCUGAUGCAGCCAUGCCGCGUGUAUGAAGAAGGCCUUCGGGUUGUAAAGUACUUUCAGCGGGGAGGAAGGCGGUGAAGUUAAUAGCUUCACCGAUUGACGUUACCCGCAGAAGAAGCACCGGCUAACUCCGUGCCAGCAGCCGCCGUAA